Molecule: ribosomal RNA, 253 nt
Filed under: uncultured bacterium
Lineage: Bacteria
Description: partial 16S ribosomal RNA
Rfam family: Bacterial small subunit ribosomal RNA
Source: RNAcentral
UACGAAGGGGGCUAGCGUUGCUCGGAAUUAUUGGGCGUAAAGGGCGCGUAGGCGGCUUUUCAAGUGACGGGUGAAAUCCCUCGGCUUAACCGAGGAACUGCCUGUCAGACUGGAAGGCUUGAGACCGGGAGAGGUGAGUGGAAUUCCCAGUGUAGCGGUGAAAUGCGUAGAUAUUGGGAGGAACACCAGUGGCGAAGGCGGCUCACUGGACCGGAACUGACGCUGAGGCGCGAAAGCGUGGGGAGCAAACAGG